Molecule: ribosomal RNA, 775 nt
Filed under: uncultured Neocallimastigales
Lineage: Eukaryota; Fungi; Neocallimastigomycota; Neocallimastigomycetes; Neocallimastigales
Description: partial large subunit ribosomal RNA
Rfam family: Eukaryotic large subunit ribosomal RNA
Source: RNAcentral
UUAGAUGCGAGAGUAGAGCAUAUCAAUAAGCGGAGGAAAAGAAACUAACAAGGAUUCCCUUAGUAACGGCGAGUGAAGCGGGAAGAGCUCAAAUUUGAAAUCUUCAAGGUUCUACCUUGACGAAUUGUAGUUUAUAGAAGUGUUUUCUGUUAGUGGAGUGGCAAAAGUUCUUUGGAAUAGGACAUCAUAGAGGGUGAGAAUCCCGUAUUUGGUCAUUCCUCCUAGCGUCGUGAUACACUUUCAACGAGUCGGAUUGUUUGGGAAUGCAGUCCAAAAUGGGUGGUAAAUUUCAUCUAAAGCUAAAUAUUGGCGAGAGACCGAUAGCGAACAAGUACCGCGAGGGAAAGAUGAAAAGAACUUUGAAAAGAGAGUUAAACAGUACGUGAAAUUGUCAAAAGGGAAGCGUUUGACACCAGUGUUGUUUUUCCGAAAAUCAAUUACGAAUGUUUUGUUUUUGAGGAGUUAUGACUUCAUCGGCUUGCUUCUCUCUUUACGAAACUUUCUUAAUGCACUUUUCGGUUAACAAGUCAACAUCAAUUUCUUUUGUUGUAAAAGGGAAUGAGGAAGGUGGCUUUCUUUUCGGAGAAAGUGUUUAUAGCCUUGUACCUCUGCAAUCGGAGAGAUUGAGGUCUGCAGCGUAGAUCCUUCGGGGUUAGAUACAUUUGUGCUAAGUUAUAGCUUUUCAUAGACAACUUGUUGACUAUGUUAAGUCUUGUAGCUUACUCGCUUAUGCUAUUUUACCUACGCUUAGGAUGUUGACACACGCGCGUGCUCG